GAUGAAGAACGUAGCGAAAUGCGAUAAGUAGUGUGAAUUGCAGAAUUCAGUGAAUCAUCGAAUCUUUGAACGCACAUUGCGCCCCUUGGUAUUCCAUGGGGCAUGCCUGUUCGAGCGUCAUUAUAACCCUUCAAGCUCAGCUUGGUGUUGGGGCCUGCUGUAACUGGUAGCCCUUAAAAUCAGUGGCAGUGCUAUUAGGCUCUAAGCGUAGUAAUUCUUCUCGCUAUAGUGUGUAGUGAGCGCUUCCCAGAACCCCAAACUUUUAUAUGAUUGACCUCGGAUCAGGUAGGGAUACCCGCUGAACUUAAGCAUAUCAAUAAGCGGAGGA
RNAcentral lists this unclassified non-coding RNA (328 nucleotides) under soil metagenome. RNAcentral's name for it is "partial contains 5.8S ribosomal RNA, internal transcribed spacer 2, and large subunit ribosomal RNA". The stretch from base 1 to 120 matches the Rfam family "5.8S ribosomal RNA", at positions 35 to 154 of the family's 154-position model. The record is from RNAcentral.